UACGUAGGCAGCGAGCGUUGUUCGGAGUUACUGGGCGUAAAGAGUGCGUAGGCGGUUUUCUAAGUUUGGUGUGAAAUCUCCCGGCUCAACUGGGGAGGGUCAUUCGAUACUGAUCGACUCGAAGGCAGGAGAGGGUAGUGGAAUUCCCGGUGUAGUGGUGAAAUGCGUAGAUAUCGGGAGGAACACCAGUGGCGAAGGCGACUACCUGGCCUGUUCUUGACGCUGAGGCGCGAAAGCUAGGGGAGCAAACGGG
This 253-nucleotide ribosomal RNA is filed under the name uncultured bacterium. Its description in RNAcentral is "partial 16S ribosomal RNA". It matches the Rfam family "Bacterial small subunit ribosomal RNA", at positions 524 to 776 of the family's 1533-position model. The record is from RNAcentral.